UAGGGAAUAUUGGGCAAUGGGCGCGAGCCUGACCCAGCCAUGCCGCGUGACGGAUGAAGGCCUUCUGGGUUGUAAACGUCUUUUGACCGGGAAGAAAAAGCCCUUGCGAGGGAAAUCGACGGUACCGGUUGAAUAAGCACCGGCUAACUCCGUGCCAGCAGCCGCGGUAAUACGGAGGGUGCGAGCGUUGUCCGGAUUUAUUGGGUUUAAAGGGUGCGUAGGUGGCCCCUUAAGUCCGUGGUGAAAGCCUGCCGCUUAACGGCAGAACUGCCAUGGAUACUGAGGGGCUUGAGUCCAGACGAGGUUGGCGGAAUGGAUGGUGUAGCGGUGAAAUGCAUAGAUACCAUCCAGAACCCCGAUUGCGUAGGCAGCUGACUAGGCUGGUACUGACACUGAGGCACGAAAGCGUGGGGAGCGAACAG
This 422-nucleotide ribosomal RNA is filed under the name uncultured bacterium. Its description in RNAcentral is "bacterial SSU rRNA". It matches the Rfam family "Bacterial small subunit ribosomal RNA", at positions 355 to 775 of the family's 1533-position model. The record is from RNAcentral.